AGAGAGAGACAUCACGAUACCAGAGCUAGUUAUGAUUUUUACACUUCAAACGUGAAGAAACGGACGGAGGAAAACGAAAACAUCGCUGAGAGGAAAAUCAACCUCCGCUGCAACCUCCUCCGACAAACGGCCCAACCCACCAAGCCGGCGAAAGCAAGCGACUUCUCUAGACCUCGGAGAAACCGUCGUAGAUCUCUGACGAGAAACAUCUCCACCGCCAUCGAGCAGAGCAUACCACCACCGUCAUCUCCCAAAAAACACCUCGAAAACGAUGAAAAC
This 279-nucleotide long non-coding RNA is filed under the name Eutrema salsugineum. RNAcentral describes it as "long non-coding RNA (ESAL_LNC000908)". Lineage: Eukaryota; Viridiplantae; Streptophyta; Magnoliopsida; Brassicales; Brassicaceae. The record is from RNAcentral.